GGGUCUGGAGGUGCAUUUCAGACCCGCAAACGGGGCUAGAAAGACUGGUGGUUUAUAUGCACCCUUGGUGAUUUCUCUACCACCGAUCACAAUAACCGGAGAAAAUGACUUACCCGGGGGGCAUUUACCCUGAGCCCCAUCCCGCGCAACAGUGUUUACAAAAUGAUUAUAUAAAUAGGCUCCCCGAGCCACCUCUCUGCUCUAAAAGUAUCACUGCUUCUGAGCUGCCGGGCGGAGUCCCGCAGACGUCAGCAUCUAAGCCCAGGCGAGAACUCGCCACCCCUGCAGCCUGGUUAAGACCAGGAAAUUGAGGCAAAGAGCAGAAGACUGGAUCCGGGAUACACAGUGAGUCAGCGACGCAAGAAAGGAAGACAACAACUGUUAAGGUUCACUCAGAAGAAGAGAGAAAUGGACAUCUGCAAUGUUCCAGUUCAGGAAGCAGUGCUUGCUAUUGGAUGGACAGUCAGCCCCUAUGCUGAACCCAGAACAGUUUCAGUGGCCGCCUGUUGCAAUUCAUUGCCUUUCACGGGGCCCAACUCUCCGACUUUCUAAGAAGAAUGCUCCCAUGGAUGGCUUGAGAAUUAUCUGGAGAAUUCUAGAGAGAAGAAGCUCAAGGAUCUCAAGUCGUUCUGUAGAUACUUAUUAAGAACGAAGCAAGCACCCGAACUCUAUGAGGCCAUAAAGAUGCAGGCAGGGAUUGGUCAGUUGAACCUCUACCCUUAAGACCCACGCAGGCUAGUGAAAGAAAGAGGUGCCUAUACUUUGUGCUGCUCUGUCUUGUUCCUUGGUGCCAUUCCCACACUUCCUGGUGUCAUGCUCUGCACCUUGUUGCUACUCAAGAAAUAGCUGUUGAACUGAAUCACUAUGCUGCUUUGAGGGAUAUGGCUCAAAGACAAUGAAGAUAGACUGAAAUCUCAUGGCUCAGGAAAUGGGAGCACAUACUGCAAAGAUGGACUAAUUAAUGAGUUAAUGAACCUUGAAAAAAUAGAAUCAUAAAUGCCAAUGACAAGUAUCAGUUUAUGAAGCUUAAUUAUAAACAGAAUAAAUAAAUUCAUUGAUCCAGCUGGCCAGAUAGCAACCAUCUUUAUUAAAAGGCAUGAGCAGGGUAAGAACAGUUAAACAGAGAUGAGUAGAAGGCAAAAUAUGUACAAUUAAUCAUGGUGGUAAAUAUAACCAGUUUUAUAUCAACACCAAGGCGUGUACCAUA
Molecule: long non-coding RNA, 1207 nt
Organism: Callorhinus ursinus (northern fur seal)
Lineage: Eukaryota; Metazoa; Chordata; Mammalia; Carnivora; Otariidae
Source: RefSeq, a predicted model, not a curated record